UACGAAGGGUGCAAGCGUUAAUCGGAAUUACUGGGCGUAAAGCGCGCGUAGGUGGUUCAGUAAGUUGGAUGUGAAAUCCCCGGGCUCAACCUGGGAACUGCAUCCAAAACUGCUGAGCUAGAGUACGGUAGAGGGUGGUGGAAUUUCCUGUGUAGCGGUGAAAUGCGUAGAUAUAGGAAGGAACACCAGUGGCGAAGGCGACCACCUGGACUGAUACUGACACUGAGGUGCGAAAGCGUGGGAAGCAAACAGG
RNAcentral lists this ribosomal RNA (253 nucleotides) under uncultured bacterium. RNAcentral's name for it is "partial 16S ribosomal RNA". It matches the Rfam family "Bacterial small subunit ribosomal RNA", at positions 524 to 776 of the family's 1533-position model. The record is from RNAcentral.